RNAcentral lists this ribosomal RNA (465 nucleotides) under Vreelandella stevensii. Its description in RNAcentral is "partial 16S ribosomal RNA". It matches the Rfam family "Bacterial small subunit ribosomal RNA", at positions 338 to 795 of the family's 1533-position model. Lineage: Bacteria; Pseudomonadati; Pseudomonadota; Gammaproteobacteria; Oceanospirillales; Halomonadaceae. The record is from RNAcentral.
CCUACGGGGGGCAGCAGUGGGGAAUAUUGGACAAUGGGGGCAACCCUGAUCCAGCCAUGCCGCGUGUGUGAAGAAGGCCCUCGGGUUGUAAAGCACUUUCAGUGAGGAAGAACGCCUGGUGGUUAAUACCCAUCAGGAAAGACAUCACUCACAGAAGAAGCACCGGCUAACUCCGUGCCAGCAGCCGCGGUAAUACGGAGGGUGCGAGCGUUAAUCGGAAUUACUGGGCGUAAAGCGCGCGUAGGUGGCUUGAUAAGCCGGUUGUGAAAGCCCCGGGCUCAACCUGGGAACGGCAUCCGGAACUGUCAAGCUAGAGUGCAGGAGAGGAAGGUAGAAUUCCCAGUGUAGCGGUGAAAUGCGUAGAGAUCGGGAGGAAUACCAGUGGCGAAGGCGGCCUUCUGGACUGACACUGACACUGAGGUGCGAAAGCGUGGGUAGCAAACAGGAUUAGAUACCCCUGUAGUC